AAUCAACGCUGGCGGCGUGCCUAACACAUGCAAGUCGAACGCGAAAAGGGCUUCGGCUCUUAGUAGAGUGGCAAACGGGUGAGUAACACGUGGGGUGACCUACCUUCGAAUGGGGGAGUAACGUCCCGAAAGGGAACGCUAAUACCGCAUAACAUCCUGCCUUUGUAACAGGUGGAGAUCAAAGACCGGGGAGUCGCAAGACCUGGCGUUUGAAGAGGAGCCUGCGGCGGAUUAGCUUGNGGUAAGGUAACGGCUUACCAAGGCGACGAUCCGUACGCCGGCCUGAGAGGGCGGGUCGGCCACACUGACACUGACAUACGGGUCAGACUCCUACGGGAGGCAGCA
Molecule: ribosomal RNA, 345 nt
Filed under: uncultured bacterium
Lineage: Bacteria
Description: bacterial SSU rRNA
Rfam family: Bacterial small subunit ribosomal RNA
Source: RNAcentral